This 1282-nucleotide ribosomal RNA is filed under the name Cortinarius dionysae. RNAcentral describes it as "eukaryotic LSU rRNA". The stretch from base 655 to 1282 matches the Rfam family "Eukaryotic large subunit ribosomal RNA", at positions 1 to 629 of the family's 3401-position model. Lineage: Eukaryota; Fungi; Basidiomycota; Agaricomycetes; Agaricales; Cortinariaceae. The record is from RNAcentral.
AGAGGAAGUAAAAGUCGUAACAAGGUUUCCGUAGGUGAACCUGCGGAAGGAUCAUUAUUGAAAUAAACCUGAUGGGUUGUUGCUGGUUCUCUAGGGAGCAUGUGCACGCUUGUCAUCUUUAUAUCUCCACCUGUGCACCUUUUGUAGACCUGGAUAUCUCUCUGAGUGCUAGCCACUCAGGUUUGAGUAUUGACUUUGUGUCUUUUCUUACAUUUCCAGGCCUAUGUUUUCCCAUAAUACCCAAUGUAUGUCUUAGAAUGUAUUCAAUGGGCCUCUGUGCCUAUAAAAUCUAUACAACUUUCAGCAACGGAUCUCUUGGCUCUCGCAUCGAUGAAGAACGCAGCGAAAUGCGAUAAGUAAUGUGAAUUGCAGAAUUCAGUGAAUCAUCGAAUCUUUGAACGCACCUUGCGCUCCUUGGUAUUCCGAGGAGCAUGCCUGUUUGAGUGUCAUUAAUAUAUCAACCUCUUCAAAUUUUUUGUUUGAUGAGUGUUGGAUGUGGGGGAACUGCUUUGCUGGUCUAAACAGGUCAGCUCCCCUGAAAUGCAUUAGCAGAACCAUUUGCAGAUCGUUCAUUGGUGUGAUAAUUAUCUACGCUAUUAACGUGAAGUAGUUCAGCUUCUAACAGUCCAUUGACUUGGACAAUUCUCAUUAAUGUGACCUCAAAUCAGGUAGGACUACCCGCUGAACUUAAGCAUAUCAAUAAGCGGAGGAAAAGAAACUAACAAGGAUUCCCCUAGUAACUGCGAGUGAAGCGGGAAAAGCUCAAAUUUAAAAUCUGUCAGUCUUUGGCUGUCCGAGUUGUAAUCUAGAGAAGCGUUAUCCGCGCUGGACCGUGUACAAGUCUCCUGGAAUGGAGCGUCAUAGAGGGUGAGAAUCCCGUCUUUGACACGGACUGCCAGGGCUUUGUGAUGCGCUCUCAAAGAGUCGAGUUGUUUGGGAAUGCAGCUCAAAAUGGGUGGUAAAUUCCAUCUAAAGCUAAAUAUUGGCGAGAGACCGAUAGCGAACAAGUACCGUGAGGGAAAGAUGAAAAGAACUUUGGAAAGAGAGUUAAACAGUACGUGAAAUUGCUGAAAGGGAAACGCUUGAAGUCAGUCGCGUUGUCCAGGAAUCAACCUUGCUUUUGCUUGGUGUACUUUCUGGUUGACGGGUCAGCAUCAAUUUUGACUGUUGGAAAAAGGUCAGGGGAAUGUGGCAUCUUUGGAUGUGUUAUAGCCCUUGGUUGCAUACAAUGGUUGGGAUUGAGGAACUCAGCACGCCGCAAGGCCGAGUAACUUGUUACUAC